Long non-coding RNA from Bubalus bubalis (water buffalo), 649 nucleotides. RefSeq lists it as uncharacterized. Lineage: Eukaryota; Metazoa; Chordata; Mammalia; Artiodactyla; Bovidae. The record is from RefSeq and is a predicted model, not a curated record. The transcript is spliced from 4 exons.
CAGGGAAUUGGGUCUUUGGAACUCUAGCUGCCUGGACUCAUUGAGUGGUGUCCUGCAAUGAAUGCUGCACUUUCCUUGAUCACAAGAAAGUAGAUUAGCUGUGCACAAGUGAACGAAUCCAAGUUUGCUCCAGUCAGAGGCAAAAACUUCUGAAGGCAAGUGCUCUAACUUGAGAAAGUUGGGGAAGCUGUGGGUUCCGGCCAGGGUGAUGAGCAUGGAUGAAGUGGAACAGUAUGCUGACUUGACCAGUGCUUCUCAAUCAGGACCGAGAACGGACAGUGCCUUCAUCUUAUCGAGCAAGUCGGAGCUCCUCAGAGCUGCUCGGGCAGCUGGGCUCACACACUUCCAAACAGUUCAGACAGUUACUAGAGCAGUGGGAGGAGAUUCUGCCAGCUGCUCCCACGUGCCUGCGCCUUCUGCCAUGCUAGAGAAAGAGCCAGAUGAACCCAGAGUUUACAAGCCCUGGAUCAACAUAGACUAUUCAGAAUGAAGCGCCAUAGUCCUGGGUUCUGACGCCCCCUGGUGGACACUUUGAGUUGAAGUUGGUAACCGACAAACGGACUAAGACCUCAUUGGCAAGAAAACACGUCCCAUCUCUUCUGAAAGUGAACUGUUCCACUUUCAGAGGUGGAAACCAGCUAAAUCCUUA